UGUGCAGAGUGUGGAGUGUGCCAGUUACCUGCUGGGGAAGAAAGGCGCUGGCAACUGUUUGAGGGCGGAGGGAGCCUCUCCUCGUACAGCCAGGGCAUCCCGAGGCCAGAGGAAGGUGGCAGAAGGGGGUCUAGCAGGCCGGGCGGGGGUUCUGUGGGAAACAGAAAUGGGGUGGUGGUGGCUCAGAUAACCACGUGCCUCUCAGCCUCCCCUUUCCCCAGGUGGGUGGGGAGGGAGACUCGGGGCAGGCAGCGACUUGCUGAAGGCCACACCAAGGGUUUAAGCUCAGCCUUGCCCAGACGCCAGCCCUGGCAUCCCCUGCCUUCCCCUCUGUAGCUGGCCACUGUGCGUCCAGACCCCGGUGGCCAGCCUCCCCCAUUGUCCCCGUUCUUCAGGCCAGCCCUUUCUGUGUCUCCUGGCAGAAAGGACAGAGAUGGUUUCUCUCUUCCCUGCCUCACCCCUGCACCCAGGCAGCCUUGAUCAGCCUUUUAAACAGUUCUGGCUGUGUCCUCUCUGGCUGUGUCCAUCCCUGUGGCCUCCUGCCCAGGCCUUCCUGCCAUCGUGCACCUGGCCUGGUUAGAAGACUCCUUGGGGCCGCCCCCCUCCCGCGGUCCUGCCUUCCCUCCACCCAGUAUCCUCUUUGCAGCCUGAAGCAUCUCUCAAACACCAGCCUGACCCUGCACUCCCACUGCCCCAGGCGAGGCCAGCUCCUUGGCCCCCUACCACUCUUGUCUCCACAGCGCCUCUGCUGGCAGCGGUCAGUGGUGCUGGGCGUGGGAGCAGGGCGUGCCUGAAUGGGGCCAUCCCAGGGGAGAUGCAUGCUCCUUUCCAAUAUUGUAUUAGUCAGGGUUCUCCAGAACAGCAGCGCUGAUAGCAUAUGGAUAGAUAGGAAGAUUUAAUACCAGGGACUGGCUCACACGAUCCUGGGGGCUGAGAAGUCCUGAAACCAGCUGCUGUGAAGCUGGAGGUCAGGAAGGCUGGUAGUGCAGCUCCAGUCCUGAUCCGAAGGCCCAAGACCCAAGGGGCCUGAUGGCGUGAGUCCCAGUCUGAGCCCAAAGGCCUGAGAACGACGAGCGUCGAUGUCCGAGGGCAGGAGAUGAUGGCUGUGCCCGCUGGGCAGUGAGUGAAUAAGGCCUUCGUCUGCCAUCA
This 1149-nucleotide long non-coding RNA is filed under the name Homo sapiens (human). Its description in RNAcentral is "non-protein coding lnc-SARDH-3:1". Lineage: Eukaryota; Metazoa; Chordata; Mammalia; Primates; Hominidae. The record is from RNAcentral.